CAGAGUCUAUGUUGUGAAAAGAGGGCACAGGGAGUCCCAUUGAGAAGAUCGCUGUUGCGCUGAAAGUUUGGAAGAAGUUAGCUGUAGGAACACAGUUGGUGUCUAAUGCACCCGUCAUUUGACAAUAUCAAUGAAGAGUGUGCUAGUGCUGUUGCUGCUGCACAUCCGCCUUGUUGUCUGAGCUUC
Non-coding RNA from Caenorhabditis elegans, 186 nucleotides. The record is from Ensembl. Lineage: Eukaryota; Metazoa; Nematoda; Chromadorea; Rhabditida; Rhabditidae.